ACCUGAUGCAGCGACGCCGCGUGAAGGAGAAGGUCUUCGGAUUGUAAACUCCUGUUGUUGAGGAAGAUAAUGACGGUACUCAACAAGGAAGUGACGGCUAACUACGUGCCAGCAGCCGCGGUAAAACGUAGGUCACAAGCGUUGUCCGGAAUUACUGGGUGUAAAGGGAGCGCAGGCGGGAAGACAAGUUGGAAGUGAAAUCCAUGGGCUCAACCCAUGAACUGCUUUCAAAACUGUUUUUCUUGAGUAGUGCAGAGGUAGGCGGAAUUCCCGGUGUAGCGGUGGAAUGCGUAGAUAUCGGGAGGAACACCAUUGGCAAAGGCGGCCUACUGGGCACCAACUGACGCUGAGGCUCGAAAGUGUGGGUAGCAAACAGGAUUAGAUACCCUGGUAGUCCACACUGUAAACGAUGAUUACUAGGUGUUGGAGGAUUGACCCCUUCAGUGCCGCAG
RNAcentral lists this ribosomal RNA (452 nucleotides) under uncultured bacterium. RNAcentral describes it as "bacterial SSU rRNA". It matches the Rfam family "Bacterial small subunit ribosomal RNA", at positions 381 to 851 of the family's 1533-position model. The record is from RNAcentral.